UCUUGUUUAUCCUUUAUCCUGUUGCAAUAUCAAUCAAUAUAAUUUAAAUAGUAUAGUAGGAUGACAUUAUUCUUUUUAGAGUUAGGUGUAAAUAAUAAUAAAUGGUCAUAAAAAAAAAUUACCAAUUUUUUAACGUCUUUUUUUUAUGAAAAUUCUUUGACGAUGAUGAUGAUGGAUUAACGUUAUAUGUUUCAUUGAUGUGAUGUUCUGGGCUUUUUUUUUGGGAGACUUGAUUAUCAAUCAUUUUAAUAUAAAUACAAAACGAUGGAUAUUUGUCUUCUCAUUCAUUUGGUAAAUUGCAUUAUUCACCAAAAUUAUUUCUCUCUAUAUACAAAAUGAUGAUGGCCUCUUACCUGAAAAUACCAAUGAUUAUUGUUGUGAUAAAUUUAAUCAUAUUUUGUAUGAUUGGACACGUUUCUUCAUUACCAAUCGAUGAUAAUGAUAAUCAAAUUGAUGAUCGCGAAUCAUCGUUUAAUCGGGAUGAAAAUUUGAACGCAGCGGACAAGGCUUCCGAAUCAACGACAACUACAACAAAAAAGACUCCUGAAUCAACGACAACGACAAC
Molecule: non-coding RNA, 565 nt
Organism: Dermatophagoides farinae (American house dust mite)
Lineage: Eukaryota; Metazoa; Arthropoda; Arachnida; Sarcoptiformes; Pyroglyphidae
Source: RefSeq, a predicted model, not a curated record